ACAUGACUCUCGGCAAUGGAUAUCUCGGCUCUCGCAUCGAUGAAGAGCGCAGCGAAAUGCGAUAUGUGGUGCGAAUUGCAGAAUCCCGCGAACCAUCGAGUCUUUGAACGCAAGUUGCGCCCGAGGCCAACCGGCCAAGGGCACGUCCGCCUGGGCGUCAAUC
RNAcentral lists this ribosomal RNA (163 nucleotides) under Dendrobium loddigesii. RNAcentral describes it as "5.8S ribosomal RNA". It matches the Rfam family "5.8S ribosomal RNA". Rfam says of the family: 5.8S ribosomal RNA (5.8S rRNA) is a component of the large subunit of the eukaryotic ribosome. It is transcribed by RNA polymerase I as part of the 45S precursor that also contains 18S and 28S rRNA. The record is from RNAcentral. Lineage: Eukaryota; Viridiplantae; Streptophyta; Magnoliopsida; Asparagales; Orchidaceae.